This 205-nucleotide microRNA precursor is filed under the name Oryza barthii. RNAcentral describes it as "MIR812 microRNA precursor family". It matches the Rfam family "MIR812 microRNA precursor family". Lineage: Eukaryota; Viridiplantae; Streptophyta; Magnoliopsida; Poales; Poaceae. The record is from Rfam by way of RNAcentral.
AAAAAGGCAAACCCUGAGUUUUCAUGUCCAACUUUGACUGUCCGUCUUAUAUGAAAUUUUUUUAUAAUUCGUAUUUCCAUUGUUGUUAGAUGAUAAAACAUGAUUAAUAUUUUAUACGUGACUUGUCUUUUUAAUUUUUUUUAUAAUUUUUUCAAAUAAGACGGACGGUCAAACAUUGAGCACGAAAAAUAGGGUUUGUCUUUUU